Molecule: ribosomal RNA, 468 nt
Filed under: uncultured bacterium
Lineage: Bacteria
Description: partial 16S ribosomal RNA
Rfam family: Bacterial small subunit ribosomal RNA
Source: RNAcentral
GACGAACGCUGGCGGCGUGCUUAACACAUGCAAGUCGAACGGAAAGGCCCUUCUUUUGUGGGGUGCUCGAGUGGCGAACGGGUGAGUAACACGUGAGUAACCUGCCCUUGACUUUGGUAUAACUUCAGGAAACUGGGGCUAAUACCGGAUAGGAGCUCCUGCUGCAUGGUGGGGGUUGGAAAGUUUCGGCGGUUGGGGAUGGACUCGCGGCUUAUCAGCUUGUUGGUGGGGUAGUGGCUUACCAAGGCUUUGACGGAUAGCCGGCCUGAGAGGGUGACCGGCCACAUUGGGACUGAGAUACGGCCCAGACUCCUACGGGAGGCAGCAGUGGGGAAUAUUGCACAAUGGGCGGAAGCCUGAGGCAGCAACGCCGCGUGCGGGAUGACGGCCUUCGGGUUGUAAACCGCUUUCGCCUGUGACGAAGCGUGAGUGACGGUAAUGGGUAAAGAAGCACCGGCUAACUACGUG